AACGAAUCGUACGGAGCGAACGAGCGAGGCCUCAGGGUGCCCUCGAGCCAGAACGAUUCGCACCCACGACUCGCACAGCAGAUCCGUUCGACGCCGCCCUCGCAGAUCAAGUCGCGCCGUCGAUCCAUCCCUUCGCCGCCGCCGAUCCAUGCGCGUGCGAGGACGAUCCAGGAGACGCCGCCGAUCCCCUUCAGGAUCCGACGCCGAUCCCCUAAGCCGGCGCUGAUCCCCGUUGAGGAGCCACCAACAAGAUCACUGAGGGUGAUUGGGGAGUGCUCAUACGCGUGAUGGAGAGAAGACAACACGCUUUGCUCCUCCUCCAAGCCUGCAAGUCUGCUUCUUUUCACCACAAGUUUUGUAGAUCAAUUCGCAUCAUAUUGUGGUCAGAGUGCCAUGUCCGCCCCGUAAUGGGUGGUCGCAGCAGCUAUUGGUUCUCCUGUGCCAUGUCCGCCCAUGAUACUGCAGUGGAUCCACCGUCUGAUGAUGUUGCCGCCAGAUCGACUCCCACCCCGAGGGCUCGACCUUCUUGGUCCACGGUUGUGGUCGGAGCGGAACUCAACCCCCCGAAGAUGCGCGCAAGGUUGAUACAACUAGGGCUAUCAAGCUUCAUGCAUGAAUUUAUUUGUGUGCUUCGAUGGAAGCAUAUUACAUAAAGAUACAAGCCAGCUACUAGCUAAAGGAAUUUUGUUUGUCUUUGAUACGGUUGACCUCUUAGAGGAAGUGUCCUUUAGGAUAAUUUGACUACGUUUCCAUGAAUAUCCGGUAGAAGUAGUGCUUUCACAACACUCGGCGGGAGCUAAAGCUGUAGUUUUUCAUGCGCAUGUGCUAAUGCCUUGAAGAGAAAAUUGUUGCUUGUGUUAGCAUCAGGCAAUACUGGAGGUGGAUUGAUGCAACAACUAAUCACCAAGGAGAACGCAAAGAGGUAUCUUAAUUACAGGUUGAAAAAAUUGAGCAGGUUAACAAUCUUAAUUACCAUAUUCGCAAGUAGAAUGCCCUACUUCUUGAAAUCACCGAGUCAAAGCUAAAGUAGUGCAAACAAAUGAAGGAACGUGCUAUAGAUAUCGGUGUAUCAUCUAAUUGCUACUUUUCUUUUCUGCAUAGAAUAGUCACUAUGUCUUUUUCAAGCAUGCAUAUAGAUUUAUUUAACAUUCUUGAAGUUCUUUUUAAAAUGAUACAUGGUCUGCAUAAACAUGGGGUCACUUCAUCUAUUUUUUUAAUCAUAACGAUUAACCUUGUGGUUUAGUUCCAAGUUACAAUUUUGGAUCUCGUGAAGGUCAGACCCCGCCACCAAAAUAAUCUAGCUUGGUAGAGAAGUUCAGAUUAUUAACCUCGUGGUUUAGUUACAUAGGCAAUGGAGAUCCGGCCAUCAUUGGUAUUUAAGUUGCCACCUGACGAAUCUUUCGGAAUUUGUAUAAUUACCUUGCCUUCACGGGGCAUUACAUGGCAUUAGAUGAUUGUAACUAUGUACGCCGCCGCCGCCGCCGCGGAACCCUGGGGCAGGUCAGGGCGUGACUAUGUUACGGGCAGCGAGGAGCUGGUUCCUGGAUCGGCAAACUACCGGAGUAAGCUGUCUGAGGUUCACUUGAGGUCAGAAAAAAAGCUGCUUAUACAUAUAGAAAAAAGGAUGCAGGUGUGAGAGGCUGAAGCUCGGGGAUGACGACAUCAUGCACAAGAGGGCAUACAGGAGGUUCUCUGAACAGCCUUCCAGAUGAAUUAUGCCGAUCCAAACGAGGUUGUGGCAGUUAUACUGGGCAGUGGCACAGGAACUCAAAUUUUCCCUCUUACAAGCACAAGGGGUGCACCUGCUGUAAGAUAAUUUAUUCAGAUUUUCCCUCUUACAAGCACAAGGGGUGCACCUGCUGUUCCUGCUGAAAAGGCUUAUUAAUAUUCCAACGAGCAACUACUUAAACAGAGGCACAAACAAGAGAUUCGCCAUAACUUGGUUUAAAUCAACUUUCGUAAUGGUCGCAUUCUUCGCACAUGCAUUGGCGAGGGAAUCAAGAUCACUUAUGGAUUUGCUAACGUAAUUCUCCUCAGCUUGCAAAGACAUCAACCAAGACGUGCUUAUGAAGUCACAAGCUCAUGUCACGACACAUCUCACUCCGAGUAGUCCUUGAAUUUAAUACAUGUGGUCUACCAAGAAAAAGAGCUUAAUGGAUGUGGUGUAACAAGGAGAAGUCAUGUCAACAGAAGCAACCCCACCACUUCUCUCUUGUGGUAGGUUUAAGACACUAGACAACAGUUGAUAUUGCUUUGUUAAACUAAGAUGUGCUAUUAUCAUUUUUUGCUUCCUUUCUAAUCAUUGUGCCUCGGUUUAUCAUUUUAUUUUAUGUAGAUUCAGUGGGUCUUGGCUCUAGCUAAUUGAUAUUUGACACAUGUCUCAUCGCAUGCUAAUUUUCCUUCCAAAUUCCUCACUGAUGGCAUACCAUGCACCACAAUCCAUAUCUUGAUAAAUAGAUCUGUUAGGUACAUAGUUAUGGUGUCUGCUGUCUUUUGGUUAUGUUUCAAAUUUGAAUUUGUCAAGUUGAGUUGUUUUCUACAUGAGAUUGCAAGGUCGGGUGGCAUAUUCAAGUUUGUAGAGCAUGAAUAUUGUGAUCUGAUGGUAUCAUGAACUUAAUUUAGUCAUGUUGCCCAAGAAAUUUGUAUAUUAUUACUAUAAGAAAAAAGUCCAUUUUACUACCCUGAAUAAAGUUGGUUGUUCACUUUACCCCCUGACCUUUUUUUUGGUUCCUUUACCCCCUAAACAAUCCCAUGCCGGACAAAAAAACCCUGAGUGGUUUCCCCAGACCGGAAGCUGAUGUGGGCACGGUCAAAGGUGGUAUUUGACCUGGAGGUGGGUCCCCUCGUCAGGUGGCCAUGUGCUGGAGCUGGAUGUGGCUGGGCGCGAUGCGGGACGUCGGCGGCGGGACUCGCCGGAUCCUGCCGGAUCCAGGCGAGGGGCGGCGCAGGGGCACGGAUCCGGACGCGGGGAUGUAGUAGGACACCGCAAGGACGACUGGCGUCGUGUGGCUCCGAGGCGGUCGGCCCUGGCGUUCGAGCGUCGGCGCGAAGGGCUCCAUGGCACUGUUAACGGCGACGGCGACUGCGGUCGGCGGGCAGGGGAGGCCGGCGGACGACGGGAAUGGAUGGAUCCGGACAGGGGGGUUCGGACCCGGGUAGUGGCGUCGCUCGGAGAUCGCCGAACGGAGCAAAUCGACGGCGGCGGCGCCAUGACCGACGGAAGAAGCUCCUGCGCGAGAGAGGAAUUAGAGAGAGACAGGAGAGUCAGGGAGGCGCAGGGCUGGCCUAGGCUCGGGGGGUGACGCUCCGGCGGCCGGCCGGCGUCGGGGCCGAGUGGGGGCAGCGGCGAGGCCAACGAAGCUGCAGCUCUAUCUCAGCCGUGCCUGACAAGGGGGCCCCACCUAGGUCAAAACCACCAUUGACUUGAGCCACGUCAGCAGUAGGGGGAGACAAACCAGCCAGGGGGUAUUUCGUCCGGUAUGAUUUUGUUUGGGGGCUAAAAGGAGCAGAAAAAUAGAUCAGGGGUUAAAGUGAACCACCAACUUUAUUCAGGGUAGUAAAAUGGAAUUUUUUUUCUUACCAUAAUCAUAUAUAUCUCUAACAGAAAGUUUGUUGCUCUGAAAAAUGCUAAUGGUACCUUCUGUUGUUGAUACAUUCUAAAGUCUUGCUGAACAGGGGCUUCCUUUAAUGUUCUGUUACCUCCUUUCUAUAGUUACAGUAUCCAGAUUUUACGAAACAAACAAAUGAAACAUGGUAAUUGCGUCGAUUGAAAAUUUGGUCCUUCAGAUUCAGGUACCCAUAUUUAGUUGGACAACUAUUAAUUCACUCUAUACUGCUUAUCAGCAGUAUAACGCCCUGGUCUUAAGUCUUUAUUUGCUGCAAAUUAGCACUUUAAUGUCGUGUUUAUAUGUUCCAAAAUUGUAGGCGGAAUACUACUUCAGUGAUGAGGAUCUUCUGAUGGAUGUUUAUAUGCUAUAGAUUAUCUCUUUUUUGGGCAUCUUCCUUUCUUUAGUAACUCAAUUUUCCAAUGGGCAACUCAAUUUCCUACGGCUUGAAUGCGGAGGGGUCGCGCCAUGUCACUUUGGUGCGCUCUGGAGACGCUAAGUCAAAGGGUGGCGGCUCGGCUGCAGAGGGUUCGUUCGGCAGUAAUGUGGCGUGAUUGGCCCCAUGUGCGGCUGUGGUGGAGGGUGACACCGUGGCUACAACAGAGGACAACUUUGCUGCACAUGGGUUGGGCCAGGAUGCUCGGCAGGGUUACUGGCCUCUGCAUCGGCUGUGUGCUCGUCCUCCGGCGUGGCUGCACAGUCAGGCCAGGGCAUGGCUGGGUCCUCGACAUCGCCUACGUGAGCUUGUCCAGAAGGAAAGAUGGCCCUGCUCAUCAAGCUCAAGCAGCGGCGAGCAAGGCCGGCGACAACGGAAAUGUUGUGUCUGGCGCCCGUGCACCUCUCCCUGAUCUCAAUGCAGCUUGGUGUUUGUACAAAUGCUCUUCAGAGUUGGAGCACUUGGAAGGCGGGGGCAUUAAAGAGCAGAUCAAGUGGGCUGAGGCCCUUGUGGCUGCGCUGGAAGUUGAGAACCACAAGGAGAUGGGUCUUAAAGGAGAAACUACAACAUUUUGCUAUCAAUUAUGUUUUACCGAUUUGACGAAAUGUUAAAGUGUGGAUUUUGAAGUCCGUGAUAUGUAGUUUGUGUUUGAGUCAAGUACUAUUAUGUGGAUGGAUCUUCUUAUGCCGACCAUCUUGAAAUGGAGAAUGCAGGCCAUGUCUCGGUUUACUUUGGUCAUCACCUACUUCCCGAAGAUGUUUGGUGAUGGAAGCCAUCGAGUUUUGUACUAAUCUUAUGUGUGUAGAUAUCAUUGUUGUUACUUAGAGGUUCCAUUAUUUAAUCUGUUGUUUUAUUCAUUC
Long non-coding RNA from Triticum aestivum (bread wheat), 4901 nucleotides. RefSeq lists it as uncharacterized. The transcript has 9 exons. The record is from RefSeq and is a predicted model, not a curated record. Lineage: Eukaryota; Viridiplantae; Streptophyta; Magnoliopsida; Poales; Poaceae.